Molecule: ribosomal RNA, 560 nt
Filed under: Leptotrichia sp. oral taxon 392
Lineage: Bacteria; Fusobacteriati; Fusobacteriota; Fusobacteriia; Fusobacteriales; Leptotrichiaceae
Description: bacterial SSU rRNA
Rfam family: Bacterial small subunit ribosomal RNA
Source: RNAcentral
GUGUUCGGAUGGUAAGUGCUUUCAGCAGGAAGAAGAGUGACGUACUGCAGAAGAAGCGACGCUAAUACGUGCCAGCAGCCGCGGUAUACGUAUGUCGCGAGCGUUAUCCGAAUAUGGGGCUAAAGGCAUCUAGGCGGCCUAACAAGUCAGGGGUGAAAACCUGCGGCUCAACCGCAGGCCGCCUUUGAACUGUAAGGCUGGAGUACCGGAGAGGUGGACGGAACUGCACGAGUAGAGGUGAAUUCGUAGAUAUGUGCAGGAAUGCCGAUGAUGAAGAUAGUCCACUGGACGGAAACUGACGCUGAAGUGCGAAAGCCGGGGGAGCGAACAGGAUUAGAUACCCUGGUAGUCCCGGCCGUAAACGAUGAUUACUGGGUGUGGGCAGGAAGACUGUCUGUGCCGAAGCGAAUGCGAUAAGUAAUCCGCCUGGGGAGUACGGCCGCAAGGCUGGAACUCAAAGGAAUUGACGGGGACCCGCACAAGCGGUGGAGCAUGUGGUUUAAUUCGACGCAACGCGAGGAACCUACCAGAUCUGACAUCCUACGAAUGCCAUGAGGAUG